CUCCAGUUUUGAUUGCUCCGCACUGAUUAGUUUCACCUGUGUCUCUUCACCUCCCCUCACCUGAGUGUAUUUAGUCUCUGUGCUUCCCUUAAUCUCUUUGUCAGUUCCUCUUUGUAAUUUGGUUAUGCGGUCUUGGCAAUGAAUUCCCUGGUGUUUUGGAUUAUUCUGUUUCCUUUGGACCUCGUCUUUGAUAUUUGGAUUUUGUUAUUUGCCUGCUCCUUUGGACUUAUUUGACUUGUGGACUUCUUCCCUGGUGUUGGAUCACUGCCUGAAAUCAGGGCAAUCCAUAGCUGUUCAGAAGACAAACUAAGGUGGAGAAGAUGUACAGGUGGCCCAGCUUUUUCAUCCUGUGCAUCCUUCUUCCCUCACCUCUUUGGGGACGGCCGGGGCUCUCUGGUAUGCGGGAGCUCAUUCUUUCAUGUCAGACACUGAACUUAGCCACUGUGAACAAUUCCUGUUUGGUUCAAUGCUCACUAAUGAGCUAAGUUCUGCAUCUUCAGAAAAGUCAUCCCAGAGUGGCAUUUGCAGCAAGAAAUCUGAGUCUCAUUCUGCAAGAAAGAAAAUCUUAAUACAACAAAAUUAUACUUAAUAGAGAUCAUGGAUUUAAUGAUGUUGCAAUCAUGCUUAGUCCUGUAAAAGUAAUGUCUGCUGCUUUCAUGCUGUGACUUAUCCAAAGGAGAAAGGCAAAGAAGUCAUUAAAUAUAGAAAAAACAGAGGAAAUUUGCUCAUAAAAACAAACUAUUAGUGUAAUAUAUUACACUGGCCAUUAACAUGAAUGUAGAAUGUGUGGAGACACGAGACGAGUGGUUGGCCAAAGAGUUAGACCACGGUUUAUUACUUUCAAAUGCAAGAACUGAAUAGUUAUUUUCAUCCAUGUUAAUAAACCAUGUAAAAAGUAAAUUGCCUCACAUCACUCUUCAAACCUAGUGGUUAUAAAUACUCAAGAUUUAGAUAAUUUACUAAAGUAAAAGUAAAAAUACUCCAGUACAAGAAAAGGUCCUCCAUUCAAAAUUUUGCUCAUGCAAAGUACAGAAGUAUUAAUGGCAAAAUGUACUUAGAGUAUAAAAAGUACAUGUACUGGCACCUGUCAGUGGUAUAUUAUGAUAUAAGACAUUAUUGAAUUAUUAUAACUGAUGUAUAAAACAUUUAGGCUGCAUUUUCACGUUGCAGCUGGUUAAGAUUUAUCAAAUUUGAACAGCUUCAUACACUGUGGGAAGGUUAACAAUUCAUGGAGUAAAAAGUUAAAUAUUUUUUAAAGUAGUUGAGUAGAAGUAUAAUAUAGCAGAAAAUGGAAAUACAAGUAAAAUACCUCUAUAUUGUACUUAAUUACAGUACUUAAGUAAAUGUAUUUAGUUACUUUCCACCACUGCUCAAAUGUAAUUACUAAAGAAGGGAAAAAAACAGUGGUUGGUCAAACCAGGCCCAGAUGCGGGUCCCAGCUUUGGACAGACCAUUGCUAGAAGGUUUAGUAAACUGUAUGUAAAUGACAUGAUCACUAGAUGUUUUAUAAACUUUAAAUGCAGAUAUCGUCUUUCUCUUCUC
Molecule: long non-coding RNA, 1542 nt
Organism: Siniperca chuatsi (mandarin fish)
Lineage: Eukaryota; Metazoa; Chordata; Actinopteri; Centrarchiformes; Sinipercidae
Exons: 3
Source: RefSeq, a predicted model, not a curated record